UUGACAGAAGAGAGUGAGCACACAGAGGACUUUAGCAUAAGAGUAUGCUAUUGCUUUUGCGUGCUCGCUACUCUUUCUGUCAG
This 83-nucleotide microRNA precursor is filed under the name Morus notabilis. RNAcentral describes it as "mir-156 microRNA precursor family". It matches the Rfam family "mir-156 microRNA precursor family". From Rfam's summary of the family: This family represents the plant microRNA (miRNA) precursor mir-156. Animal miRNAs are transcribed as ~70nt precursors and subsequently processed by the Dicer enzyme to give a ~22nt product. The record is from Rfam by way of RNAcentral. Lineage: Eukaryota; Viridiplantae; Streptophyta; Magnoliopsida; Rosales; Moraceae.